CUAAGCUUGACAUCCUUUUGACCGAUGCCUAAUCGCAUCUUUCCCUUCGGGGACAGGAGUGACAGGUGGUGCAUGGUUGUCGUCAGCUCGUGUCGUGAGAUGUUGGGUUAAGUCCCGCAACGAGCGCAACCCUUGCCUUUAGUUGCCAUCAUUAAGUUGGGCACUCUAGAGGGACUGCCAGGGAUAACCUGGAGGAAGGUGGGGAUGACGUCAAAUCAUCAUGCCCCUUAUGCUUAGGGCUACACACGUGCUACAAUGGGUGGUACAGAGGGCAGCGAAGUCGUGAGGCCAAGCUAAUCCCUUAAAGCCAUUCUCAGUUCGGAUUGUAGGCUGAAACUCGCCUACAUGAAGCUGGAGUUACUAGUAAUCGCAGAUCAGAAUGCUGCGGUGAAUGCGUUCCC
This 401-nucleotide ribosomal RNA is filed under the name uncultured bacterium. Its description in RNAcentral is "bacterial SSU rRNA". It matches the Rfam family "Bacterial small subunit ribosomal RNA", at positions 975 to 1375 of the family's 1533-position model. The record is from RNAcentral.